This 253-nucleotide ribosomal RNA is filed under the name uncultured bacterium. RNAcentral describes it as "partial 16S ribosomal RNA". It matches the Rfam family "Bacterial small subunit ribosomal RNA", at positions 524 to 776 of the family's 1533-position model. The record is from RNAcentral.
UACGGGGGGGGCAAGCGUUGUCCGGAAUCAUUGGGCGUAAAGCGCGUGUAGGCGGCUGGGCAAGUCCGCUCUGAAAGCCCGAGGCUCAACCUCGGGAGGCGAGUGGAUACUGCUCAGCUCGAGUCCGGAAGAGGAGUGUGGAAUUCCUGGUGUAGCGGUGAAAUGCGCAGAUAUCAGGAGGAACACCGAUGGCGAAGGCAGGUCUCUGGGCAUUAACUGACGCUGAGGCGCGAAAGCUAGGGGAGCGAACGGG